Cololabis saira (Pacific saury) is the source of this 5453-nucleotide RNA transcript. It is a transcript of the gene named regulation of nuclear pre-mRNA domain containing 2a, with no coding region annotated. The record is from RefSeq and is a predicted model, not a curated record. The transcript is spliced from 12 exons. Lineage: Eukaryota; Metazoa; Chordata; Actinopteri; Beloniformes; Belonidae.
AACGAGUAAACACCUACAGGACGUCGUAAGGCGCUAAGUUUUAACCAUGAGUAUCUGGUCAGAUUAACAGUCAGCUAUGCUGCAGAAUUGCCAUGCUGAAUAAUUUCUGAACACAGAAAAGGGACCGCAAACAUUAUAAACUAAACCAUUCUCUGUAAAGUUACGUUGGAAGAUGGGCGGCUGCUCAAUGUGAUCCCGUUGGCGCUGCGAUCAGCUACAUGCUAAGCUAAGUGCUAAGCUAAGCGGCUAACGCUCCGGCUCUAGUGGACAUGGCAGCCGGAGCAGGAGCCGCUUCGGGGGGAUCCCUGGAGAACACCCUGGACAAGAAGUUCCGAGGGCUGAGCAACACCAUGGACUCUAUCCAGGGACUCUCGACGUGGUGCAUCGACAACAAGAAGUACCACAGCCUCAUUGUGCGGCAGUGGAUGAAGUGUCUGAGGAAAUCUGAUCCCUCGCACCGGCUCAACCUGCUGUACCUCGCCAACGACAUCAUUCAGAACUGCAAACGGAAAAAUGCCAUUUUUUACCGCACAGCGUUUGCUGAUGUCCUUCCUGACGCCAUCUUGCUGGUUAACCACGAGAGCGACCCGAAGGUGGUUAAAUCAGUGGAGAGGAUUCUGUCCAUCUGGGAGGAGAGGGAUGUGUAUUCAGGAGUACUUAUUACUGAACUUAGGGGUAUCUUGGUCAAAGAGGAUUCCCCUCCAGUGGAACAAAAAACUCCUGUUGAGUCCAAUGCGUAUCUGCGGUCCAAGAUUGUUGCCGAGUUUGUGCCCCAGGCACUCGUAGACCAACUCGCCAAAUAUAAGAAGUCCCUGGAGGAGGUGGAUCUCAGAGAAAAACAGCUGGCUGCCAUGAGGGUUGACAUCUUCAGCUCAGAUGCCCUCAAGAAACUCAAAGAUAAAGCAGGUGGAAAGAAGUUUUCCAAGGACUUUGAAGAGGGAAGUGCACAGCUACAGGAGUUUGUGAAGUUCUAUGAGAAAGAAAGCAAGGUCGGUCCUCCGGUCAUGGAGGCGCUGAGCAAUGCAGAUAUCUUCUACGAGAUGCAGUACAAGGAGGUCAAGAUCGUUGCAAAUGCCUACCAAACAUUUGCUAACCGGGUGUCCCACCUCAAGCGGAAGCUGGAUAACCUGAAGGCCACGUUGCCAGACCUGGACGAGUCUCCCAUCCCCUCUCCCUCUGCAGACGCACCGUCUCCCACGGGCUCAGAGUCUCCUUUCCACGGCCUUGAGUUGGCUCACCCUGAUCCAGAUCUGGAUGGUUCUGCUAUGGAUGAUGAAGCAGAACCACCAGCCCCGAGCCCCCUCUCCUCUCCGGGCGGAUCCCCCAAACACACAGAGAUCCUCGGGAACAAUGACAAUCGCGAGGUAGAGGACAUGGAGCUCUCUGACGAGGAAAUGGACAGUGUGGGCAUCAUAGUUCAGGAGCAGAUUGAACCAGUCCCCAUCCCGAAGCUGUCCACUCCAAACCCUGCUACAAGUGAACCUUCAGAAGUGGCAAAGCCAUCUCAGGUCACCGCCCCUGCCGUCAUCCCUGCAGCCAUCCGUGCAGCCCUCCAUGAGGCCGCCCCUGCAGUCAUCCGUGCAGCUGCUCCUGCAGCUGCUCCUGCAGCCAUCCCUGCAGUCAUCCCUGCAGGUAUCCGUGCAGCCGCUCCUGCAGCCGCUCCUGCAGCCGCUCCUGCAGGCAUCCGUGCAGCCAUCCCUUCAGUUAUCCCUGCAGCCAUCCGUGCAGCCGCCCCUGCAGCCGCCCCUCCAGCUGCUGCAGAGAGAGUUGACAUGGGUAAAAUAGGGUCUUUCUUCAACAGUUUUAACCCAGCCAUGAAAAACCCAGCACCAGUAUUGGAGAUUCCUCCUGCGUCUGCUCCCGUCAGCUCCUCCGUAAACACUACACCUGCUGCCCUUCUGGCCUCACAGGACCCCAGUUCACUGGUCAACCUCCUCUCCAAGGUGGACGUGAGUCCUGCAGAUAUCCUCAGUGCUCUGUCCAAAGUCCAGGGGCAAAGCAGAAUAGAGGGCAUCGGUUCUCUCCUGAACAGCCCAUCUUCAAAUGUCCCAGACUCCACCAGUACAGAGAAGAUUCCUCCUCCUGCCCCAUCCACUCCUGCAACAGCAGGACCGUCUCAGAGCUCCACUCCCUCCUUCGUAGCAGCCGUGCCUUCUUCUUCAAGCUCUGUAGUAGAGCCGAGAGCAAAGCCCCAAGCCCCCAUCCAGACCUCCAACAAGGCCUCCGCCCUAGUCCAGGCUCUCCAUAGAGACAUGGAUUUGACUACAGACGCAGAACCGUCUUAUUCCUCUACAAGUUUAGAGUCUAAAAUCCACAGCUUCUUGCAGGGGAACCCUGCCUUCAGUGCAUUUGAUGUCGGUUUUACCACAAAUCCACCUGCGGGAGGGGAGAACUUUAGCCCAGCGACCGGCACAGACACUCAGGGUGGGACCCCGGUCCGGGACGAGGGCGGGGGAACCCCGACUCAAGACGAGAUCAUGGACAAGCCAGUGGUGGUCCCUUUCACCGCUGGCCGAAACCAGCCGUCUGCUGGCCAAACUGCUAAAACGCUCUCAAUGGCGUUUGAGAAUAACGCCCAACAGAACCCCGGAAACCCCCAACAGCAGACACACUCGCAGCAGCCGGGCAAGGCUCAGAACGGCCAAGCGUACCAGCCGUACCCGUACGGCAAGCAGGAUCCACCGGGGCACGGCAUUCCUCCACCUCAUUACCAACAGAUUUCUGCCCAAACAAAGGUGGGCUUGCCUGGAGAAAGAGCUCCGGGCAGCGCCAGUGGCUUACAGACACCAGAGGGGUUUCAAGGGGCGAAUGAGAGAAACUGGUACGGUGGGAGUUACCCCGAGGGGAACCCUCAGCAGUCUGGGGGAUUCAAUGCCACAGUGCCUGGAGGAAUUAGAGAAAACAAGAUUUUAGAGCCUUAUCCCUACCAGGCAGAGCAGCCGCAGGAACCUAAAGAGUUCCUCUUCCAGCAGGAGUCCACCCCAACCUCUAGUUUCUUUAAAAACACCUUUCCUCCCGUCCCAAAGUUACCACCGCCCCCUCCUCCUGCUUUUGAGCUCCCGCCACCCUCUAUUUUUCUGCCGGAGCAGCGGCCGGUGCCCAGGACGGUCCCAGGGGGACCGCCGGGACCCCCGGGGCCCAGAGGGGACGGUGUCAUCCCCGGCAUGGUGGUUCACGACCACCAGCACAAGUCUCUGCUGCGUCCAGAAGAACCACAUUACAACAACGACCCCCACCUGCCCCCGCGGCGUCCCGAGGGCGCACCUCCUCCUCCUCACAGAGACAACUUUCACAACCAGGAGAACUUUGACGGCUACCACAACGAGCCCUACCAAAAUGACUCCAACCUGUUCCACGACGACCCCCACCACCCCCCCGAGGAUUCGUUUUACCGACCGGGCAGUCCCCCACACCCGUACCCCAGACCCCGAGGGCGCCUCACUCCUCCCAUCUCCCCGUCUAGGGAGCCCUACUUCCCCCACGGUUACCAGGGGCACGCUCCCUCUCCCCGGCAGUACCCGCCACGCCGCCCGCCUCCUCACGAGAUCCGUCACCCCGGCCCCGGCCCCGGCCCCGGCCCGAGACUCCUACACCGACCUCCCCACCAGCCGCCCCACCCACACCCCCGAGGACCGCCACGUAUGCCCUUCUCUCCGUUUCAAGGGCCCGAUAUGAGGCUGAGGGGCAAGCGGCCGGGCCCGAGAGGAGGGGGGCCCAUGUUCCCUCUGAAAAGACCCUUCCUACCUCCGCGAUACUGACGGGAGUCUCAGCUUUCAGCGUCAUGAAGAGGGGAGUGGGGAAGGACACUCAGCCAGGGGAGAGGGGGGUGAUAUAGCUGCAGAUUUUCAGGUAGCUAUGAGAAAACGGCUAUAAGAAAACAGUUACGGAAGAAGAAACUACCAGAGGAAUUGGGGAAGAACUGAUGCUGUGUAGAGGGACGUCAGAAACGAGACCAACACGAAGAGACAUAGAGAACACCGACGCUAUGAGAAGCUGAAAGAAGAUUCAAGAAACUAAGAGGCACCAGGGCUGUUUGAUGUGUGUGGUUUGACGGUUUCCCAGCGUGUUGGGGUGGGAGCGGAGGAUGAGGAGCUGCUCUGCCGCCGGAGGCGCCUCUUCCCCGGUGCGGCCGCUGCGCGUCACGGCCGCUGAGUAAGCUGCACUUUACUGGAUCAUAAAUCACAGUUGCGCGUUUGAGAGGAAAGCGGAGGAGGGUUGGACAGAGAGACCCGUGUGAGUAAGUACCAGGUAUCAGUAUCAGGUUUAACCCUGGUACUGUCUCUGGGUCAGAAUGACCUCAUUCUCCUGUUCUUCUUUCCUCCUGCUCUCUCCUUCCUUCCUUCCUUCCUUCCUUCCUCUUUUCUUCCUUCCUUCCUUCCUCUUUUCUUCCUUCCUUCCUUCCUCUUUUCUUCAUUCCUUCCUUCCUUUCUCUCUCCCUUCCUUCCUUCCUUUCUCUCCAUUCCUUCCUUUCUUCUUUUUUCCCUUCCUUCCUUCCUUCCUUCUUUCUUCCCUUCCUUCCUUCUUUUCUCCCUUCUUUCCUUCCUUCCUUCCUUCUUUUUUCACUUCCGUCUUUUUUCACUUCCUUCCUUCUUUUCUUCCUUCCUUCUUCCCUUCCUCCUCCCUUGACCCAAAGACAGCACAAGGGUUAAGCAUCUGAAGACAUGAGUGUUUGUUUUUAUUCCAUUUGUAAAAAUAAUUGUCAUUGUCCAUUAGAAUAUCUUUUUUUCUUUAACAAUAUAUUUUUUUUUAAGUUCAACAAGCAUAUCAUAACUUAUGGUAAAUUUACAAAUAUUUUCCACAUAUAUACACAUAUAUAUCCCCUCAACAAUCACACAAACACACAGACAGUAAAAAAAAAAGAAGAAUAACUACAGACAUCAAACUAAUAAAGUGCUGUAAAGUAAAAUAAAAAAAAAAUUAAUUAAAAGGCAGGAUCGGUACAUUCACAUCGCCAAGUUUUGUUAUUCAGUGUAAUCCAUUUCGUUGGUCAAGAAAGACAUAAAUGAGUCCCAAAUAUCUAUAAAUUCUGUCUGUUUACCCUGGACUAUAUAAUCAACCUCUCCAGUCCAAGACCUUCACCAGCUCUUUCUUCCAUAAUCCAAGUGAUUGGGGUUCAACGGUUUUCCAAUGUAGUGCAAUCAUUCUUCUUGCAUGGAGAAGUCCAAAAUCUGCCAUUUUUGAUUGCUUUGUCCUGUUGAUCGUGUCUUUGUAAAAUUAGAAUAUCAGUCUGUUGUCUGGUGAUUUCUUUGUGAUUUUACAGCCAGCCAGGUGGUGCCUACCUCAUAAAACUAUUUGUAUCCAUGAAAAAUGUUUCCAUGUAUCUCAGCAGAAAUUAGGAAAAGUAUUUUUCAAGUAAAUUGUUUUACAUUUUUUCAUUGGAUGUACUAACUUUAUAUGAAAAGCAAUUUUCUUAGAUAACAAGGUUAAGUGUUUAUGAUUUAUUCAUUGAAUUU